This 72-nucleotide transfer RNA is filed under the name Ovis aries (sheep). It matches the Rfam family "tRNA". From Rfam's summary of the family: Transfer RNA (tRNA) molecules are approximately 80 nucleotides in length. Their secondary structure includes four short double-helical elements and three loops (D, anti-codon, and T loops). The record is from Rfam by way of RNAcentral. Lineage: Eukaryota; Metazoa; Chordata; Mammalia; Artiodactyla; Bovidae.
UCCCUGGUGGCUCAGAGGUUAAAGCGUCUGCCUGCAAGGCAGGAGACCCAGGUUCAAUUCCUGGGUUGGGAA